Molecule: unclassified non-coding RNA, 347 nt
Filed under: soil metagenome
Description: partial contains 5.8S ribosomal RNA, internal transcribed spacer 2, and large subunit ribosomal RNA
Rfam family: 5.8S ribosomal RNA (bases 1-121)
Source: RNAcentral
GAUGAAGAACGUAGCGAAAUGCGAUAAGUAAUGCGAAUUGCAGAAUUUCCGUGAGUCAUCGAAUCUUUGAACGCACAUUGCGCCCACUGGUAUUCCGGUGGGCAUGCCUGUUCGAGCGUCAUUAUCCUCCCUCAAGCACGGCUUGUGUGUUGGGCCUCCGUCCUCCUCCCGGGGGACGGGCCCGAAAGGCAGCGGCGGCACCGCGUCCGGUCCUCGAGCGUAUGGGGCUUCGUCACCCGCUCUUGUAGGCCCGGCCGGCGCUUGCCGACACAUCAAUCUUUUUUCCAGGUUGACCUCGGAUCAGGUAGGGAUACCCGCUGAACUUAAGCAUAUCAAUAAGCGGAGGA